This 171-nucleotide non-coding RNA is filed under the name bovine gut metagenome. Its description in RNAcentral is "Lysine riboswitch". It matches the Rfam family "Lysine riboswitch aptamer". From Rfam's summary of the family: Riboswitches are metabolite binding domains within certain messenger RNAs that serve as precision sensors for their corresponding targets. Allosteric rearrangement of mRNA structure is mediated by ligand binding, and this results in modulation of gene expression. The record is from RNAcentral. RNAcentral also lists the same sequence under 1 other name.
UAUGAUAGAGGCGCGGAAAUCAUCAGUAGCUCCUUUUUAACGCGGCGGGGACCGCAGGGGGCAAAAGGGCUUUCCGCCGAAGGGUAUCCGUUUUCCCGGACGGAUAUGCCUGGGCCGGCGCGAGAACAUCCGCCGGACUGUCGCUUUUGCAAAAAAGCGGAGAGCUGUCAG